UACGUAGGGGGCAAGCGUUGUCCGGAAUUAUUGGGCGUAAAGCGCGCGCAGGCGGUUUGUUAAGUCUGGUGUUUAAACCCGAGGCUCAACUUCGGGUCGCAUCGGAAACUGGGAGACUGGAGUGUAGGAGAGGGAAGUGGAAUUCCACGUGUAGCGGUGAAAUGCGUAGAGAUGUGGAGGAACACCAGUGGCGAAGGCGACUUCCUGGCCUAUAACUGACGCUGAGGCGCGAAAGCGUGGGGAGCAAACAGG
Molecule: ribosomal RNA, 252 nt
Filed under: uncultured Paenibacillus sp.
Lineage: Bacteria; Bacillati; Bacillota; Bacilli; Caryophanales; Paenibacillaceae
Description: partial 16S ribosomal RNA
Rfam family: Bacterial small subunit ribosomal RNA
Source: RNAcentral